AAUACAAUAUCAUACAAGCACAAGGUAAAAUUUAUGUUAAAAUCGAAUUGAUUUGUAAGAGGAGUUUGUCGCGCGAUAAAUAUGUUGGUGAAGUAAACCUUAGUCUAGAUUCUCAAAGUCCAAGAUCAUGUAACACUUGUGUAGUGGAUAGGAGUGGUUCAAAUUUUGGGACUUUGAUGUAUUCAAGUGUGCUAAGUGAUAAAUUAAUAGUUAUGGACUCAUCACCAUCAAAGGAUUACAAUAACAAAG
This 249-nucleotide unclassified non-coding RNA is filed under the name Hevea brasiliensis (rubber tree). Lineage: Eukaryota; Viridiplantae; Streptophyta; Magnoliopsida; Malpighiales; Euphorbiaceae. The record is from RNAcentral.